GACGGGGGGGGCAAGUGUUCUUCGGAAUGACUGGGCGUAAAGGGCACGUAGGCGGUGAAUCGGGUUGAAAGUGAAAGUCGCCAAAAAGUGGCGGAAUGCUCUCGAAACCAAUUCACUUGAGUGAGACAGAGGAGAGUGGAAUUUCGUGUGUAGGGGUGAAAUCCGUAAAUAUACGAAGGAACGCCAAAAGCGAAGGCAGCUCUCUGGGUCCCUACCGACGCUGGGGUGCGAAAGCAUGGGAAGCGAACAGG
Molecule: ribosomal RNA, 251 nt
Filed under: uncultured bacterium
Lineage: Bacteria
Description: partial 16S ribosomal RNA
Rfam family: Bacterial small subunit ribosomal RNA
Source: RNAcentral